UGGGGAAUAUUGCACAAUGGGCGAAAGCCUGAUGCAGCGACGCCGCGUGAGGGAUGACGGCCUUCGGGUUGUAAACCUCUUUCAGCAGGGACGAAGCGCAAGUGACGGUACCUGCAGAAGAAGCACCGGCUAACUACGUGCCAGCAGCCGCGGUAAUACGUAGGGUGCAAGCGUUGUCCGGAAUUACUGGGCGUAAAGAGUUCGUAGGCGGUUUGUCGCGUCGUUUGUGAAAACCAGCAGCUCAACUGCUGGCUUGCAGGCGAUACGGGCAGACUUGAGUACUGCAGGGGAGACUGGAAUUCCUGGUGUAGCGGUGAAAUGCGCAGAUAUCAGGAGGAACACCGGUGGCGAAGGCGGGUCUCUGGGCAGUAACUGACGCUGAGGAACGAAAGCGGGGGUAGCGAACAGG
This 409-nucleotide ribosomal RNA is filed under the name Bacillota bacterium. RNAcentral's name for it is "Firmicutes bacterium partial 16S ribosomal RNA". It matches the Rfam family "Bacterial small subunit ribosomal RNA", at positions 355 to 776 of the family's 1533-position model. The record is from RNAcentral. RNAcentral also lists the same sequence under 1 other name. Lineage: Bacteria; Bacillati; Bacillota.